This 252-nucleotide ribosomal RNA is filed under the name uncultured bacterium. RNAcentral describes it as "partial 16S ribosomal RNA". It matches the Rfam family "Bacterial small subunit ribosomal RNA", at positions 524 to 776 of the family's 1533-position model. The record is from RNAcentral.
CACGUAGGGUGCGAGCGUUGUCCGGAAUUAUUGGGCGUAAAGAGCUCGUAGGCGGUGUGUCGCGUCGGCCGUGAAACCUGCAGCUUAACUGUGGCUUGCGGUCGAUACGGGCAUCACUGGAGUUCGGCAGGGAGACUGGAAUUCCUGGUGUAGCGGUGAAAUGCGCAGAUAUCAGGAGGAACACCGGUGGCGAAGGCGGGUCUCUGGGCCGAACACUCACGCUGAGGAGCGAAAGCGUGGGGAGCGAACAGG